Long non-coding RNA from Choloepus didactylus (southern two-toed sloth), 646 nucleotides. RefSeq lists it as uncharacterized. Lineage: Eukaryota; Metazoa; Chordata; Mammalia; Pilosa; Megalonychidae. The transcript is spliced from 3 exons. The record is from RefSeq and is a predicted model, not a curated record.
GCAACUGGGAGUCUCCCUCCCAGCUCGCUAGUGGGCUCUGGGUGUACCCCAGGCCUGCCCCUAGCUCUCCACCUCUUUUAGAAAGAUCUGGUCACGACCUUUUUUUUUGCACCUAAAACCCAGCUGAGGUUAUAAGCUAAAGCAAGUUCCAUAUCAGUUAGAAGCUCUGGGGGUGUUUGAGGUUAAGAUCCCAGGAGGCCCUCCCCCUCCUUGCCCUGACAUGUAUGGAAAACAGGUGGGACUUAUUGUUGAAUUGGGGUCUCCUAUCUAGGGGUCAAGGCUUUAACUCAUUUAAUAUUUUUAUUCCAGACCCAUUACCCUGAGGACCUCUGCUUUAAAGAGGACACGGGAGGAAUUCCUGCUGAGGGGGAGCCAAUUGGGAACAAAUUAUGAGGCUAUUUCAGGAGCCUCCAACUCCGGGUCUCCACCUUGCAAGGACAGUGGGCAGAUAAACAGGAGGACCGGCUGCAGACUACGGCUUGGCUUCUUCACCCGCUGCCAUCUCCCCGAGUGGCCCCCACCCUGUGUGAAAGUUGUUCCAGGGGGACCACUCAGCUUCCAGUCCUCUCUAUGCCACCAUCUUGCCCGAGUCCUGGAUUGGCUUUUAUAGAGGGGGUUUCCUUGGGUACCAAGUUUCAAUUUAAGC